This 2568-nucleotide long non-coding RNA is filed under the name Coffea arabica (coffee). Its description in RNAcentral is "long non-coding RNA (CARA_LNC001637)". Lineage: Eukaryota; Viridiplantae; Streptophyta; Magnoliopsida; Gentianales; Rubiaceae. The record is from RNAcentral.
UUUUUUUUUUUUUUUUUUUUUUUGGGUUUGGGAUUAUUUAUACGACCCAUGAAUUUCUUUUAGGCUUUGAGUUCGAGCAAGUUAACUUUACAGAAAUCCAGCUUGAAUUUCAACAAAACUUGGAGCCAUGCAUGAACGUGACUAUAGAUGCCCGAAGUCAUGGUUUCAAGCGAUCAAAAGUGUUCCAAUCUGAUGGUUGUAAUCUAAAACGAGUCCUGUCAACAAUCCAGCUUCAACCAAUAAAUUAUCAGUAGUGGCAUCUUCUUCAAGUAGUACAUGUGAAAGAAUUUAAACCAGUGGGGAAACACACAAAUAUCAUCUACUGUUCACCAUUUAUUUUAUUAGUCAAGCAUGCGUUUUAACUAUCCACCAAAACGAAUUUCAGAUGUAGAAAGAGGACACCUUCUUGUUUAUGUGACAGAUGAAGAAGCAUUAAUAUCUCACCCUUGCAUCUCAAUCGUCCAGUGUCAUCUGAACUUCAAAAAUUAGUAGGAGGAAAGAAAUUUUAGAUCAAUAUCACGGUUCCCAAGAUUCAUAGGAUUUUUUUUUUUGGGGGGGGGGGGGGGCAGUCUUCUUGGGUUUUCUGCCACUCAUUUGACUAUUCUUUUCCCGCCUUGUAUUUGUGUGGAGGAGCAUCUGUAUCAAACUACACCCAUGUACACAAAAUUAUAAUAGUAUCUGGCAAAAAAGGAAAUGCUAAAGGAGAAACAGACGAAGGGCAUUGAAUGCUGAAGUGUAAUGAAUGGUGAGUCGAGGGGUAAAGAAUAGGUGGUCCUAACUCCUACGCUUCGUGAUGGCUAAUGAGUUCGAAUCAAGUUUCAACUACUUCUACUACAUUAUCACACUCUUUUUUUUUUUAAUCUAACAUCAACGCUCUACUCUACUCUUAUGUUAUGUUAUGGGGAAGGGAGAGCUCUAUUGAGCUUGUAUGGUGGGGGGUUGAAGGUGAAUUUUUACAUUAGAUAAUAAGUGUAUUACUGCACCCUUUAAUACACCAAACGAGAUUUGAAGGCCCGACUUGAUGCACCAGACGGCAGGCAUUAUCACAGCACACCAUUUAGUCUUCUUACGAGGGUAAAGAUAUUAAGGCUGGUGAGUCUUUGCAGAUUGCCUCUUAGGGAUCGAGCGUCCCCUUUUAUUUGGCCAGAGAGAGAGAGAGAGAGGAAGAGACGAUGGAAGUUUUUGAUGAUUUCAGGGCAGUAGUACUGGCGAUGCUGAGGUGCUGUGAGAUGUCCCAAAUCUGUGAAAGUUGGCAGCUAUCUUGGAAGCAUGUCUGCUUCCAGGACAGAGAUUUUUGGGUAUCUUUUGACAGAAUAUAGGUCCAAUCUAUACGGGUGACCACUUUUUGAUGGGUCCAAGUCCAAUGCCCCUCCAAUUCUCAUCGCUUAUAGUAUAUGAUGCUUCAAGAAUUAAUCACCUUCACUAAUCUCAAUACAUGUCAUGAUGCAAAGCACAUCGGUUGGAGGGCUAAACUUUUGCUUUGUCCAACAAGUUAUUGUGGUUUCAAGUUAUGAAUUCCAGGUCCCCAUUUCCUUUAACUGCUAUUUGGGCCACAAGAGAAGGAGACCACGCCCAUAAAGCAUCCAUGAACGGAAGCAAAAAGAAUGAGUUCGCAUGAUAGAGACGACAAUGUAUGUCCUCCUCCUAAUCCUAUCAUCGUUUGAUUUAUGAAAUUUCAAUUCCUUACUCCUUCAGGGAACAGUUUCACCAAAUCUGUUUCCUUUAGGCUUUUGGACGGGGCACUAUCAAGUUAAAUCAGGAUUCAGGUAUCUCUGCGUGUGUGUGUAGUCCUGACUCCAAUUAUGAUUCAAGAUAAAUAAGCAAACGGAUGUAGUCCUGACUCCAAUUAUCCGCAUGCUGAACCUUAAAUUCGGCAUUCCCAAUUCUAAGGACAUAGGCAUGAAUCUGCAUUUUUUAUUCUUUAUUUUUAUUUUCGAGUUAAAAUCCAAUCUCAGUCCACGGGACCACGAGUUCCCCAGUUCAAGUUGAAUUCUCGCAAAACUACCAUGGCAUAUUCUUCAUUCCGCAGAAAAAUCUACGCGUCGCCAUAAUUAUAUCUCGUGACAUUUAAUUGCAAGCGAUGAUAUUGCCUGUUCAGUUAUUCUUCAACGGCUGUCCAUCUCCUCGGUAGUUUACAGGAACGAGAAACAAAAUAGAGAGCAAAUAUCAAUUGCUCUGUUGUUGUACAAAUUAUCGUACUUGGAAAAAGUUUAAAAAAAAUAGAGCAACAAUGAAAAGGAAAUUGGGGAAUGGCAAAACAGGUCGUCGCAUUCUAGGUUGGUGAUAGCAUUUUGCAGCAAAGAAAUUCAUGGAAUAUCAGAGAAACUGUGGAAGGACGCACUGCAGCGCAAAAUCACUAAAUGAAAUUACAACUUUAACAUUCUACAGUCUAGACAAACAACUUCAGACGGUGAACAUCAUAAAGCUUAGAGGUACCCCCUGGGUGCUGCGCUCAUAACUACAGAAAUUUGAUGACUGAUGAAGGAUCAUCGACUUUCUGGUGCAUUAAUUGAUAAAUGACAAAAUUAAACAACAGAAUUUACAAAACUAAGUUGGUCGGUCCUCCAU